Hippocampus zosterae (dwarf seahorse) is the source of this 987-nucleotide long non-coding RNA. RefSeq lists it as uncharacterized. The record is from RefSeq and is a predicted model, not a curated record. NCBI's taxonomy places the organism in Eukaryota, Metazoa, Chordata, Actinopteri, Syngnathiformes, Syngnathidae. The transcript is spliced from 2 exons.
UUCCACGACUCGACGGUUCAGAAUGAUCAAAGCCGUUGCUAGACCAAAGCGCUUCCUAAAAAUGCAAAGAACAUUAGAGGAUCAAAUCAAUCACUGAAACGUUCAAAUGCAAUACGGACUAAAGAUAAAGCCACGAAACAUUACCAUGAAAGGACACACCAUCACGGUCUCGGAAUCACAACAAAUACAAUUCGUUCAUUCAUCGCUAUUCCUUAUCUGCGGAAGAGGUGGCAUCGUGUUCAAGUCUUGGCAAAUACCUUCUGGACAAGGUGGAGAGGGAAAUAUGUGUUGAAUCUUCAAAGCAGACCGAAUUGGACUAAAGAAUGCAGAGAUGCUAAAGUCAACCACAUUGUGCUCUUACAAGAUGACUCAAGCCCACGUAACCAAUGGAAAUUGGCAAAGAUCGUUGAAGUAUAUCCUGGGCACGUUGGAAGAGUAGUGAAACUACUUAUGAGUGAUUCAACUUUGAAUGGCAGUGGAAACCCCAUAAGCAAACGUAUCUACUUGGAAAGACCUAUUCAAAAGACAGUGACUAUUUUAGAAGCAGAAUGAAGGCUUUGACAUCACUCGCUGCCAUUAAAAUGCUCUAUAAGCUUUAAUAUAUUAUAAUUCGUAAUCAAAGGUCAAAGAAAAUUCAAAGAGUUAAUAACUUCAAAAGACAAUUGAUUGGUGGGUGUGUUACUACCAAUAUUUUCCUUUAAGCAGUUUCAUUAUUGGUGUUCUGUUGUCAUCUAGUGGCGAUUGUUGGCCAGAACCAUUCAUCCCGAAUAAAGGUCCACCGGACCCUAGUUGCCAUGCACAUUCAUUGGAGCACGUUGAAAGACACGUUUUGUAAGCUCUGUGUAGCCAUUUGUAAGAAGACGAGAGUGCCAAGAACCUACCGUCCGAGGCAAGUCGAUGACAAGCAGGAUUUCGGCCGAAGUUUAACCCCUUAUGAGUGUGAGCCCACGAGUUCUCACGGGUUGCCCGGAAUAAACCCUGUAUUUU